ACCGUAAAAGUGAAGGAACUUUAUUUUUAANUUUUGAAAUUNNUUUAGANNNAGAAAAGAUAAGUUUUUUUUNGAAGGUAAAAUUUCGAAAAAANUAAUUUUUUCGUUGANNNAUAAUUUUGAAAACUUUUAAGNUGAAACUAGGAUUAGAUACCCUAUUAUCAUUAAAUGUAAAAAAAUNUAGGUAGUAGUAGAUGACUUGAAACUUAAAGAAUUUGGCGGUGUUUUAAUCUAACCAGAGGAACUUGUGUUUUAAAUCGAAAUUACACGUUUCAUCUUACUUAAAUUGAAGUUUGUAUAUCGUCGUAAAAAUAAAAUUUUAAAGUAUAUAUUCAACUUUAUUUAANUGAAAAAUUACAGAUCAAGGUUCAGCUUUUAUUUAAGNAAAACGUGAGUUACAAUACUNNUUAAGGUAAAUGGAUAAAUUUUUNNGAAAGANAACUUUUGAAGGUGGAUUUGGAAGU
RNAcentral lists this ribosomal RNA (464 nucleotides) under Buthus ibericus. Its description in RNAcentral is "partial 12S ribosomal RNA". Lineage: Eukaryota; Metazoa; Arthropoda; Arachnida; Scorpiones; Buthidae. The record is from RNAcentral.